GAUGAACGCUGGCGGCGUGCCUAAUACAUGCAAGUCGAGCGAACAGACGAGGAGCUUGCUCCUCUGACGUUAUCGGCGGACGUGUGAUUAACACGUGGAUAACCUACCUAUAAGACUUGGAUAACUUCGGGAAACCGGAUCUAAUACCGGAUAAUAUAUUUAACCUCAUGGUUCAAUAGUGAAAUACGGUUUUUCUGUCUCUUAUAGAUUGAUCCGCGCCGCAUUAGCUAGUUGGGAAGGUAACGGCUUACCAAGGCAACGAUGCGUAGCCGACCUGAGAGGGUGAUCGGCCACACUGGAAGUGAGACACGGACCAGACUCCUACGGGAGGCAGCAGUAGGGAAUCUUCCGCAAUGGGCGAAAGCAUGACGGAGCAACGCCGAGUGAGUGAUGAAGGUCUUCGGAUCGUAAAACUCUGUUAUUAGGGAAGAACAAAUGUGUAAGUAACUAUGCACGUAUUGACGGUACCUAAUCAGAAAGCAACGGCUAACUACGUG
Molecule: ribosomal RNA, 497 nt
Filed under: uncultured bacterium
Lineage: Bacteria
Description: partial 16S ribosomal RNA
Rfam family: Bacterial small subunit ribosomal RNA
Source: RNAcentral